AAAAGAAAAAAAUUACUGAAAAAGAAAAAGGAAAAAUGGAAAAAGAAAGGAAGGGUGUCAAUACAUUUUCCUUUUGAAAAAAAAGAAUAAAAAGAGAAAAGAGAAGAGAAAUAACAGAAAAGUUAUUUGGAAGUGAAUGAAGUAUUUUGUAGUUCAACUCCCUCAGUUUCUUUCAAUUUUCUUUUGACCCUUUGAGUUUU
Molecule: long non-coding RNA, 200 nt
Filed under: Lathyrus oleraceus (garden pea)
Lineage: Eukaryota; Viridiplantae; Streptophyta; Magnoliopsida; Fabales; Fabaceae
Description: Pisum sativum (pea) long non-coding RNA (PSAT_LNC041801)
Source: RNAcentral